Trichuris suis (pig whipworm) is the source of this 83-nucleotide non-coding RNA. Lineage: Eukaryota; Metazoa; Nematoda; Enoplea; Trichinellida; Trichuridae. The record is from Rfam.
UACUUCAAAAUCGGAUGAUUGUGGGUCCAGUCCAUGUAGACUUUGUUUCAUGACUAGAUCCACACUCAUCCGGCCGUGAAGCC